UACGUAGGGUGCAAGCGUUAAUCGGAAUUACUGGGCGUAAAGCGUGCGCAGGCGGUUGUGCAAGACCGAUGUGAAAUCCCCGGGCUCAACCUGGGAACUGCAUUUGUGACUGCAUAGCUAGAGUACGGUAGAGGGGGAUGGAAUUCCGCGUGUAGCAGUGAAAUGCGUAGAUAUGCGGAGGAACACCGAUGGCGAAGGCAAUCCCCUGGACCUGUACUGACGCUCAUGCACGAAAGCGUGGGGAGCAAACGGG
This 253-nucleotide ribosomal RNA is filed under the name uncultured bacterium. RNAcentral's name for it is "partial 16S ribosomal RNA". It matches the Rfam family "Bacterial small subunit ribosomal RNA", at positions 524 to 776 of the family's 1533-position model. The record is from RNAcentral.